UACGAAGGGGGCUAGCGUUGUUCGGAAUUACUGGGCGUAAAGCGCACGUAGGCGGUUUUCCAAGUUGGAGGUGAAAUCCCUGGGCUUAACCCAGGAACUGCCUCCAAGACUGGGAGACUCGAGUCCGAGAGAGGUGAGUGGAAUUUCCAGUGUAGAGGUGAAAUUCGUAGAUAUUGGAAAGAACACCAGUGGCGAAGGCGGCUCACUGGCUCGGUACUGACGCUGAGGAGCGACAGCGUGGGGAGCAAACAGG
Molecule: ribosomal RNA, 253 nt
Filed under: uncultured bacterium
Lineage: Bacteria
Description: partial 16S ribosomal RNA
Rfam family: Bacterial small subunit ribosomal RNA
Source: RNAcentral